Molecule: ribosomal RNA, 497 nt
Filed under: uncultured bacterium
Lineage: Bacteria
Description: partial 16S ribosomal RNA
Rfam family: Bacterial small subunit ribosomal RNA
Source: RNAcentral
GAUGAACGCUGGCGGCGUGCCUAAUACAUGCAAGUCGAGCGAACGGACGAGAAGCUUGCUUCUCUGAUGUUAGCGGCGGACGGGUGAGUAACACGUGGAUAACCUACCUAUAAGACUGGGAUAACUUCGGGAAACCGUAGCUAAUACCGGAUAAUAUUUUGAACCGCAUGGUUCAAAAGUGAAAGACGGUCUUGCUGUCACUUAUAGAUGGAUCCGCGCUGCAUUAGCUAGUUGGUAAGGUAACGGCUUACCAAGGCAACGAUGCAUAGCCGACCUGAGAGGGUGAUCGGCAACACUGGAACUGAGACACGGUCCAGACUCCUACGGGAGGCAGCAGUAGGGAAUCUUCCGCAAAGGGGGAAAGCCUGACGGAGCAACGCCGCGUGAGUGAUGAAGGUCUUCGGAUCGUAAAACUCUGUUAUUAGGGAAGAACAUAUGUGUAAGUAACUGUGCACAUCUUGACGGUACCUAAUCAGAAAGCCACGGCUAACUACGUG